This 446-nucleotide ribosomal RNA is filed under the name uncultured bacterium. RNAcentral describes it as "bacterial SSU rRNA". It matches the Rfam family "Bacterial small subunit ribosomal RNA", at positions 330 to 792 of the family's 1533-position model. The record is from RNAcentral.
CCCAGACUCCUACGGGAGGCAGCAGUGGGGAAUAUUGCACAAUGGGGGAAACCCUGAUGCAGCGACGCCGCGUGAGUGAAGAAGUAUUUCGGUAUGUAAAGCUCUAUCAGCAGGAACGAGACAAGACGGUACCUGACUAAGAAGCCCCGGCUAACUACGUGCCAGCAGCCGCGGUAAUACGUAGGGGGCAGGCGUUAUCCGGAUUUACUGGGUGUAAAGGGAGCGUAGACGGCAAUACAAGUCGGAAGUGAAAUACCCGGGCUUAACCUGGGAACUGCUUUGGAAACUGUAUGGCUGGAGUGCUGGAGAGGUAAGCGGAAUUCCUAGUGUAGCGGUGAAAUGCGUAGAUAUUAGGAGGAACACCAGUGGCGAAGGCGGCUUACUGGACAGUAACUGACGUUGAGGCUCGAAAGCGUGGGGAGCAAACAGGAUUAGAUACCCGAGUA